CUCAGUAACGGCGAGUGAAGCGGCAACAGCUCAAAUUUGAAAUCUGACCCCUUCGGGGCCCGAGUUGUAAUUUGUAGAGGACGUUUCGGGUGCGGCGCCGGUCUAAGUUCCUUGGAACAGGACGUCGUAGAGGGUGAGAAUCCCGUAUGCGACCGGUGACCAACCCCAUGUGAAACCCCUUCGACGAGUCGAGUUGUUUGGGAAUGCAGCUCAAAAUGGGUGGUAAAUUUCAUCUAAAGCUAAAUACCGGCCAGAGACCGAUAGCGCACAAGUAGAGUGAUCGAAAGAUGAAAAGCACUUUGGAAAGAGAGUCAAACAGUACGUGAAAUUGUUGAAAGGGAAGCGCUUGCAACCAGACCUGCCCCUGGGCGAUCAGCCGUUAUUCUUAGCGGUGCACUCGUCCUUGUUCAGGCCAGCAUCGGUUCGGGCGGCCGGAUAAAGACCCCGGGAAUGUAGCUCCCUCCGGGGAGUCUUAUAGCCCGGGGUGCAAUGCGGCCAGCCCGGACCGAGGA
This 512-nucleotide ribosomal RNA is filed under the name Lecidea sp. Its description in RNAcentral is "partial large subunit ribosomal RNA". It matches the Rfam family "Eukaryotic large subunit ribosomal RNA", at positions 79 to 519 of the family's 3401-position model. Lineage: Eukaryota; Fungi; Ascomycota; Lecanoromycetes; Lecideales; Lecideaceae. The record is from RNAcentral.